This 5767-nucleotide long non-coding RNA is filed under the name Lactuca sativa (garden lettuce). RNAcentral describes it as "long non-coding RNA (LSAT_LNC006848)". The record is from RNAcentral. Lineage: Eukaryota; Viridiplantae; Streptophyta; Magnoliopsida; Asterales; Asteraceae.
AAAUGGUGUGUGCACUACAAUCUUCCCGAGCUCCUCUUUUGAAAACUGAGUACCUGAAACCAAAACUGAAAACUGUAAGCAUGAAGCUUAGUGAGCUCCCCCAAACUACCACAUACCAUACAAUAACAUAUAAAGCAUCUAUUGGGCUUUGCCCACUGCAUCAAACCGAAGUCGGGGAACUAACCAGGGCCUUGCCCUCUUCAUCGGACCGAAGUACGGAACUAACCAGGGCCUUGCCCUCUGCAUCGGACAGAAGUCUGGAAACUGCAUCGGACCGAAGUACGGAACUAACUGGGACUUUGUCCCCUGCAUCAUACCGAAGUCCGGAACUAACUGCAUCGGACUGAAGUCCAGAAACUGACUGAGCAUAACAUAGCAUAACAUAAACAUAUCAACUAGCAUGAACACAUAAACUACAUACUGCAUCGGGCUGUAGCCCGGAACACAUAACACAUAAACCCUGUCAGAGCCACGAAGGCAUCAAACAUCCUAACUACUGCAUCAGACCGAAGUCCGGAAACUACUGCUAGUCAAACUGGCCGACAUUAUGGCCUUAUACCCGUUCCUACUGGUAGGAAACUCAUCUCACACUGCUAAAGUCCUGCUGAAAAAACCAUAGCUAUUGGAUGACAGAUUCCCGAUCUGUCAAUAUCAAAAUAACACCCAAUUAAUAAUUGGGUUCCAACUCAUAACCAUAAGUCCUUACUUGGGGUAAAAGACUAAUUUACCCCUAUCUUAGCUUGACUCAAGCCCAAGGCCCAAUCCAAAGGCCCAAAAGUCUAAUAAUGGACCAAGGCCCAACUAUGGCCCAAUUUUCCAAAUUGGGCCCAACCUCUACAUGGACUUCCUUUAAGGCCCAAUUGUUCAGUCAAGUCCAACAUGUCUCAUUCUAAGGGCCCAAUAUCUUACAACCAUCUAAACCCAAACUAUGGCCCAAUUUUCCAAAUUAGGCCCAAUCCUUCAUAUGGGCCUUACCCUAAAGCCCAACUAAUUAUUCUAGUCCAUUUGAUUAUUCUUGGAUAGCCCAUUAAUAAACCAUUUACCAAAGCUCAAUCGAAAGGCCCAAUUCCAAAUCAAGUGUUUAAUCUCUUUAGACCAAGGCUCGUAAUCCUCUUUAUCUAAUUGAACAAACCAUAAUUUUUCUAAGUAUUUUCCAUCGCAUUUAAUCAUGCAUUAAUAUUUAUUUAGUCAAAUAUUUAAUCUAUCAAUAUAUAUAAUAAGCCCACCAAUUUCCUUGAAGUCCAUAUGAUUUAAAACUCAAUUCAUCAGCCCAUUUAUUUAUUUCUAUUUAAGUUGAAUUCUAAGUCCAAAUCUCGAAGCCCAACAAUUAGAUCUAACCUAAAGCUCAAAAUCAGUCAAGGCAUGUACCUCUUCUUCACCUUAUGCAAUCCGGAACAAUCACCAAUUCACCAGGGAGCUCCAGCCGAAGGUACUCCACCAGAACUGGUUUUCAGAUCGCUAGUGAAUCCUACUUCGACCUCCUCUGCCACGAAAUUCACCUGAGUCUUCACCAAACUCAGUCCUUUCCUUGCUCAUCUAAACAUCUCGAGAACCAGUCCUCAAUCACGAAGUAUAUAUGAUUCCUUAAACAUAUAUAUGCGAGAAUGAAAAUGUUAUUGAGUAAAUUAAAACCUAAGUUCAAGAUAUGCCUUGGAUUAGUGAUUGGAAAUCGCCUGCUUCAGCACACCGGAAACCUUCUGAAACUUCACCGGAGGUCCUUCACUCUUCCGACGGCAACUAUGACAGCUGGCAGCAGCUCCGGUGAUUGGUAACUCGACCCCCUUCUCUCUUUUAGUCCCACUCCCAAUUUCGUCAAGCUUCCACCCAGGGGGUCCGACAAUGUGGAAGUCGGGGAUGACACCCUUCUCAACUCUGAUUUCUCUCGAAAGCUAAUCUGAAAUCUACGGUCUCCUCCAGAGAACCCUCACCAUAAGCAACUGAUCUGGUUCCUUCUUCCCAGUGUGCUCUAAGUUAAUACCCCACUCUCGAGCUCUGGAAGUCAUAUCACCCAGGGUCUCACACCCCGAGGUACUCCCGAUCUACUUGCUAUCAUUUUGUGGUAUGUUCUGAUAAAUUACCUUAUUCAUUUCCUCAUUAGCUGCAUACUGGGGGUACCAUAUAAGCUCUUUCCCGAGACUUGGCAGUGAUUUGUGUCACAAUAUCAGUCGUAUAGUGGAGAUCUAACAACUCUUGCGCCGACUGUUGUGCCUCAAUCGCAUCUGGAAGUCAUCCCAUGGCAUAUCAUCAACCACGUCAUCACUCAACUUACUACCAACCUCUUCCUAUCAAUCUCGUGCUCUAUCCCUCAGGAGACAGGAAGUAGGUCAGAUAUUGUCUCCUUUCGAGACAAUGUCUGGUAUGAAAAGUGUUGGUGACAUCUGCCAACCAUCUACCGCUAACAANCUGCCAACCACUACCGCUAACAAUGGGGUCUAUAACCCCCAUGACAAUCUGAAGCCUCACAAACUCUGAAUUCCCGAAACAUCAACGUACGAGUCUCUAUCAUGACUGUUAUCUUACUGCAAAAUGCACUCGGCCUCUCAUCAAAAAUCUCUAAAAUGCCCUCCUUGAUCACACUGAGGAUCACAGGAGUCUGGUCAAUGAUACUGCGUGAAAUUCUCAGAUGGAAUGAACUCCUUCAUCUAAUCAUCAAUCUGCCCGUCUCCAGAGUCUGAGCCUGAUCCCUUGUCGACACCAAAACUACCAUCUGGUCUACCACGUAGCGCCAAUAUACUCGGCAACAUACCAUCACUAAUAUCACAAUACUUAUCCAAACUUGAGGGAUCUCACACACCACAAGUUUCCUGGAUUCAUCUCGGCCUUCCUUGAUUCGAGUACGGAUCCUCUGCUUUCAGUAGUACGGGCCCAUACUACCUUCCACAUCUAUCUGUACUUUCCCCAAGAACUGCCUUGACUCCACCAAGUUACUACUACUGCUACUGAUCUCUGCUACUACCAUCCUAGGCUUACCCGCCAUCAGCUGCAUAAGAAAUCCCCAUUUCCUUCCCCUAACUAGCUCGCGGAUACUAUUACAUAUCACUCAGACUAGAUAAUUCUUCAAAUGAGGGAUCCUACCGUAUAACGGUUGGACUCAAACGUGAGCUGUGAAAUAGAGAUAGACCUAACCUUCUGAAAUUAUUUAGUCCUGGUAACAUGUAACUUGACAUACUCGUUCACUAGUUAGUGAAAGACAACUAGAACUCUAAAAGCACAAAGCAAGCAGCAUUCGGGCAUCGAGUACAUAAUCAAGCAUAUACCACUCUGGCUGUCAUACUGACUAAUCUGCACUAGCAUACAAUGCUAAGCUCAUACUAUCAGGCAUAACCUAACCAGGCUAUCAUACUGAUGUCUACUCAACAUUAGCAUGCAAUUCUCAUAAAGCUGAAACACAUAAAACAGGCACAUAAGGCAUCCUCCUAGAUCCUCAGUCCUAUUCUAGCAUGCUGUUCUAAUAUAACUGAAACUGAUAAUCAUAACAUAAGCUUGUAUGGGUAAUUUGGGAGUACUUACUUGAGCUCGGCUAAUCGCAUGCACCACACCAUUUUCUCUUUUCAAAACUCUUUUCGCUUUUUCUAAAACCCUUUUCUUUAUAAUUUUUCUAAAAUUGUUUUCUUUUCUCAAAAUUCUUUUGUAACCAUGGUUUUUCUCUUGAAAACUUUAUACCACUUCCUUAUUUUGAGUUCAGACACACUCGUGAGUGCGCCUGAAUCUCUCAAACCAAGGCUCUGAUACCAACUCGAAACAUCCCAAAAAUACAGUCUGAAAAUUUCGUUUUAAAUUAGUGAUAAAACCAUAUUCAUCAAACGUCAUAUAAAAAUCAUACAUAAUGUAUCUCAAAAUAUUUUAACAACUGUCAAAUAUAUGAGAGUAUAAACAUCCCAGGCUGAACAAAUAGUGUGUGCACUACAAUCUUCCCGAGCUCCUCUUUUGAAAACUGAGUACCUGAAACCAAAACUGAAAACCGUAAGCACGAAGCUUAGUGAGCUCCCCCAAACUACCACAUACCAUACAAUAACAUAUAAAGCAUCUACUGCGCCUUGCCCACUAUAUCGGACCGAAUUCGGGGAACUAACCAGGGUCUUGCCCUCUGCAUCAGACCGAAGUACGGAACUAACGGCAGAAGUCCGGAAACUGCAUCGGACCGAAGUCCGGAACUGACUGGGACCUUGUCCCCUGCAUCGGACCGAAGUCCGAAACUAACUGCAUCGGACCGAAGUCCAAAAACUGACUGAGCAUAACAUAGCAUAACAUAAACAUAUCAACUAGCAUGAACACAUAAACUACAUACUGCAUCGGGCCGUAGCCCGGAACACAUAACACAUAAACCCUGUCAGAGCCACGAAGGCAUCGAACAUCCUAACUACUGCAUCAGACAGAAGUCCGGAAACUACUGCUAGUUAAACGGGCCGGCAUUGUGGCCUUAUACCCGUUCCUACUGGUAGGAAACUCACCUCACACUGCUGAACUCCUGCUGAAAAAACCAUAGCUGUUGGAUGACAGAUUCCCGAUCUGUCAAUAUCAAAAUAACACCCAAUUAAUAAUUGGGCUCCAACUCAUAACCAUAAGUCCUUACUUGGGGUAAAAGACUAAUUUACCCCUAUCUUAGCUUGACUAAAGCCCAAGGCCCAAUCCAAAGGCCCAAAAGUCUAAUAAUGGACCAAGGCCCAACUAUGGCCCAAUUUUCCAAAUUCCAACCUCUACAUGGACUUCCUUUAAGGCCCAAUUGUUCAGUCAAGUCCAACAUGUCUCAUUCUAAGGGCCCAAUAUCAUACAACCAUCUAAACCCAAACUAUGGCCCAAUUUUCCAAAUUGGGCCCAAUCCUUCAUAUGGGCCUUACCCUAAAGCCCAACUAAUUAUUCUAGUCCAUUUGAUUAUUCUUGGAUAGCCCAUUAAUAAACCAUUUACCAAAGCUCAAUCUAAAGGCCGAAUUCCAAAUCAAGUGUUUAAUCUCUUUAGACCAAGGCUCGUAAUCCUCUUUAUCUAAUUGAACAAACCAUAAUUUUUCUAAGUAUUUUCCAUCGCAUUUAAUCAUUCAUUAAUAUUUAUUUAGUCCAAUAUUUAAUCGAUCAAUANNNNNNNNNNNNNNNNNNNNNNNNNNNNUAUAUAUAUAUAUAUAUAUAUAUAUAUAAUAAGCCCACCAAUUUCCUUGAAGUCCAUAUGAUUUAAAACUCAAUUCAUCAGCCCAUUUAUUUAUUUGUAUUUAAGUUGAAUUCUAAGUCCAAAUCUCCAAGCCCAACAAUUAGAUCUAACCUAAAGCUCAAAAUCGGUCAAGGCAUGUACCUCUUCUUCACCUCAUGCAAUCGGGAACAAUCACCAAUUCACCAGGGAGCUCCAGCCGAGGGUACUCCACCAGAACUGGUUUUGAGAUCGCUAGUGAAUCCUUCUUCGACCUCCUCUGCCACGAAACUCACCUGAGACUUUACCAAACUCAGUCCUUUCCUUGCUCAUCUAAACAUCUCGAGAACCAGUCCUCAAUCACGAAGUAUAUAUGAUUCCUUAAACAUAUAUAUGCGAGAAUGAAAAUGUUAUUCAGUAAAUUAAAACCUAAGAUCAAGACAUGCCUUGGAUUAGUGAUUGGAAAUCCCCUUCUUCAGCACACCGGAAACCUUCUGAAACUUCACCGGAGGUCCUUCACUCUUCCGACGGCAACUCUGACAACUGGCAGCAGCUCCGGUGAUUGGCAACUCCACCCCCUUCUCUCUUUCAGUCCCACUCCCAAUUUCGUCAAGCUUCCACCCAGGGGGUCCGACAAUGUGCAAUCCAAAC